RNAcentral lists this ribosomal RNA (317 nucleotides) under uncultured Bacteroidota bacterium. Its description in RNAcentral is "bacterial SSU rRNA". It matches the Rfam family "Bacterial small subunit ribosomal RNA", at positions 28 to 351 of the family's 1533-position model. Lineage: Bacteria; Pseudomonadati; Bacteroidota. The record is from RNAcentral.
GAUGAACGCUAGCGGGAGGCCUAACACAUGCAAGUCGAGCGGGAUCCCCUUCGGGGUGAGAGCGGCGCACGGGUGAGUAAUGCAUAUGCAACCUGCCCUUUACUGGGGAAUAGCCCGGAGAAAUUCGGAUUAAUACCUCAUGGUUCUGUAUAUCCGCAUGGAAUUACAGAUAAAGCUAAGGCGGUAAAGGAUGGGCAUAUGUGACAUUAGUUAGUUGGCGGGGUAACGGCCCACCAAGACGAUGAUGUCUAGGGGUUCUGAGAGGAUGAUCCCCCACACUGGUACUGAGACACGGACCAGACUCCUACGGGAGGCUG